GUCUGGGCCCAGAGAUUCAGUUCCCCUAACCAGGACUCCCUUCUCUCACAGCUUGUGGACUGGCGAGGGCUCGGAGAGUGGUGCUCCAAGUGCCCCACUUGCAUCAGGGCAUCAGGGAGCUGUGUGAGAGGCUGGACACCGUGGAGGACGGGCCUCUGCGUGAGGACCGUGCCGAAAUAGCGAAGGAUGUUUGCCAGUACCUACCCCAGGGACAGGCCAGGAGCUUCAUGGACUCCAUCACGAAGACCUUCUCGUGCACUAACCAGGAGCGUGCACGAGCAGCUGGCGACUGGCUGAUCGCAUUCCUGGAGACACGCGGAAACGAAAUAUACCCAGAGGUGCCUGAAUUCAUGAAGAUCCUGUGGGAGGCCAGGCGCACCGUGCAGCAGAGCCCCCUCAAGGACCUCUUCUUCAAGGCACUCUGUCUCCUGGCCGGCUUCCGCAGCCAGGCUGUGGUGGACACCCUCCUCCAGACAGAAUCGCCCUCAGAGAGAGACGAGCGGCUCUGGAGGAGCCUGGGCAGCAGCGACCUCGGGCCUAAGGUGCUGUAUCACUUAAUUUGGAGACUGAACGAGGCAUCUGAAGCCAGGUGUCGGCUCACGGUUGCUGCUCAACCGCUGGAUCCUUUCAAGCUCCUCUGUGCCAUCUGUGAGGUGAUGUCUGCUCUGCUGACCACGAGGGAAACCCGGGACGUGCUUCUUUGCCUCUUUUUCGCCCUCCUGAAGCGGGUCAGCAUUGAACUGGGGACACUGGUGCUGUUUCCCCCCCUGAGUCUUCCGGCAGAAAUCUUCAAGGAAACGGAAGAAGAGGAGCUGGUGUGCGGACCCUACAGUGCUGCUCUGGAACAAGUGCUGGGAAGACUCCUGGACGAGAGGUGGCAGCGGGUGCUCUGCAAUCAUCGAGUGUGGCCGUCCCUGGACGUGCCUCAGUGGCACUGCAACGCCGUGCAGCUCCUGACCAGAGUGCUGCUCCAUGCCCAGCUCGUCUCACGUUUGCUGAUAAACAGCUUCAUGCUGUGGCUGCACUCCCCCUCGCAAAACCUGCAACUCACGGCGCUGGCUUUAUUCGCAGAGGUGGUGAAGGACCCGCCAGCUGAGGGGAAGCAUCUCCUGAAGCCCCUGGUGUGGGUCUUCCUGGAGAAGCUGAAGAGUCCGAGCCGUGCUGUGAAGCAGAUGGCAGCGAGAGGCCUGGGCCGUGCUGUCAGUGGCUUGCCCAAGAAGGUGAGGUGCACUUCCCUCUGCUCUGGCUGCAGCCCCCCAGCAGAGAGCCGGGCAGGGCUGCAGGGCAGUUGGGGAGCCUGGGGCAGAGCAGCACAGGCAGAUGGGGGCUUCCCAACAGCCAGGCUGCUCUCCAAGCUCAGCACGCAGCCUGCGGGGAAACCUCUUGCCAAACGUGCCAGUGCCGUUCGUCACGGGGUUGUGCCGCAGC
Molecule: long non-coding RNA, 1428 nt
Filed under: Anas platyrhynchos platyrhynchos (common mallard)
Lineage: Eukaryota; Metazoa; Chordata; Aves; Anseriformes; Anatidae
Description: lncRNA (ENSAPLG00000019204.1)
Source: RNAcentral